CCCUUAGAUGUCCGGGGCCGCACGCGCGCUACACUGAAGGAAUCAGCGUGGCUUUCUCCCUGACCCGAAAGGGUUGGGAAACCCGUUGAAUCUCCUUCGUGAUAGGGAUUGGGGCUUGAAAUUGUUCCCCAUGAACGAGGAAUUCCCAGUAAGCGCGAGUCAUAAGCUCGCGUUGAUUACGUCCCUGCCCUUUGUACACACCGCCCGUCGCUACUACCGAUUGAACGGUUUAGUGAGGGCCUCGGAUUGGUCUCGGCCCGCUCUUCACCGGGCGGCGCCGUUGGUCGAGAAGACGCUCGAACUUGAUCGUUUGGAGGAAGUAAAAGUCGUAACA
RNAcentral lists this ribosomal RNA (334 nucleotides) under uncultured eukaryote. Its description in RNAcentral is "partial 18S ribosomal RNA". It matches the Rfam family "Eukaryotic small subunit ribosomal RNA", at positions 1470 to 1796 of the family's 1831-position model. The record is from RNAcentral.